UGGGGAAUAUUGGACAAUGGGCGAAAGCCUGAUCCAGCCAUGCCGCGUGAGUGACGAAGGCCUUAGGGUUGUAAAACUCUUUCGUCGGGGACGAUAAUGACGGUACCCGAAGAAGAAGCUCCGGCUAACUUCGUGCCAGCAGCCGCGGUAAUACGAAGGGAGCUAGCGUUGUUCGGAAUCACUGGGCGUAAAGCGCACGUAGGCGGAUAGUUAAGUCAGGGGUGAAAUCCUGGGGCUCAACCCCAGAACUGCCUUCUAGACUGCAGGCCUGGAGGUCAGGAGAGGCGAGCGGAAUUCCGAGUGUAGAGGUGAAAUUCGUAGAUAUUCGGAGGAACACCAGUGGCGAAGGCGGCUCGCUGGACUGAUACUGACGCUGAGGUGCGAAAGCGUGGGGA
Molecule: ribosomal RNA, 395 nt
Filed under: uncultured bacterium
Lineage: Bacteria
Description: bacterial SSU rRNA
Rfam family: Bacterial small subunit ribosomal RNA
Source: RNAcentral